CAGUGAAGUAUGGAGGGGAUAUCAUUAAAGAGACAGGCUUUUGGUGUGGUUUAUGUUCCUCUGAAGUUGAUCCCCUUUUAAAUUAUUUCUGCCAUUAUGAGAAAGCUAGCAGGAUUCUUUCACUGAAAAGACAGGACAGAGCUGCAGAGAAGUUCUUCAGUCUUCAUGGGUGAAAGACGGAGAACAGGAGAGUUUUCUACAAGUCAUUUUCUCUUCUCCUGGAAGUGUUCUGCGGAAGCUGUUUGCAUCCCUUCGCCCUGUGCCAUCUCCCAACUCCCAAAUGACACUGAAGCCAAUGGUUAAACUAAAGUGGUGGCCAGCUGUUGGGAAUGUGGAUGGCUUCCUUGAUUCUUUGGCUAGGCGGGGCCUCACCAGUGGUCAAAAUCUGAAACGGGAAGAUGUAAUAUUCCCUCUCACACCAACAUUGCUAACCUGGACUGGAUGGAUACGGAAAAAGUCAGCAGGUUCCCAUCAAUUGUUGAGGACUAAGUCAAGCAUUAAAAUGUUCAAUUCUGGAUUUUCAGAGGACAUGUGCUCCAGCCCUGUGAUCCUCUUCGUCCCCCUCAUCUGAACCUGCUCCAACAGAUCCCCAUCUUUCCUGGGAUGAGGACCCCAGAGGUGGAUGCAGGACUCCAGGAGGGGUCUCACAAGAGUGGAGUAGAGGGUCAGAAUCACCUCCCUCGACCUGCUGGCCAGAUAUUGUCAGUUAAAACUUGUCAUGGGGUUUAUAUCAGCUUUCCAUAGAUACAGACAGUGACACACGUCAGAGGAGGGAGUGUUGAUUUUCUGCUUACAAAAAUACCACUAACUUACGGAGUCUGAGCAGUGUUUCCCAAACAAAGAAUUGACUCCACCCCAGCCUACAAAGAAAAAAUAAUUGAAGUCACAUUAUUUCUUCAAAUACUCGUGAUUCCAAAUGUUUGGUAACCAGCUGCCUGUUGUGGUAAUGCUCCUUCUUCUGCACAGAAUUUGUAUUCUAGACCUACAUGAAAUUAGUAUACAAAAUGAACGG
Long non-coding RNA from Hirundo rustica (Barn swallow), 1012 nucleotides. RefSeq lists it as uncharacterized. The transcript is spliced from 3 exons. The record is from RefSeq and is a predicted model, not a curated record. NCBI's taxonomy places the organism in Eukaryota, Metazoa, Chordata, Aves, Passeriformes, Hirundinidae.